This 601-nucleotide ribosomal RNA is filed under the name uncultured bacterium. RNAcentral's name for it is "bacterial SSU rRNA". It matches the Rfam family "Bacterial small subunit ribosomal RNA", at positions 737 to 1342 of the family's 1533-position model. The record is from RNAcentral.
CAACUGACGCUGAAGCUCGAAAGUGCGGGUAUCGAACAGGAUUAGAUACCCUGGUAGUCCGCACGGUAAACGAUGGAUGCCCGCUAUUCGCUCGAAUGAGUGAGUGGCCAAGCGAAAGCAUUAAGCAUCCCACCUGGGGAGUACGCCGGCAACGGUGAAACUCAAAGGAAUUGACGGGGGCCCGCACAAGCGGAGGAACAUGUGGUUUAAUUCGAUGAUACGCGAGGAACCUUACCCGGGCUUGAAUUGCAGAUGAACGAUCCAGAGAUGGUGAGGCCCUUCGGGGCAUCUGUGAAGGUGCUGCAUGGUUGUCGUCAGCUCGUGCCGUGAGGUGUCGGCUUAAGUGCCAUAACGAGCGCAACCCCUGUUCUUAGUUGCCAUCAGGUAAUGCUGGGCACUCUGGGAAUACUGCCACCGUAAGGUGUGAGGAAGGUGGGGAUGACGUCAAAUCAGCACGGCCCUUACGUCCGGGGCUACACACGUGUUACAAUGGCCGGUACAGAGAGUUGGUCGUGCGCAAGUACGGUCUAAUCCAUAAAACCGGUCUCAGUUCGGACUGGGGUCUGCAACCCGACCCCACGAAGCUGGAUUCGCUAGUAAU